GGAGCGGCCUCCGUGCGCGUUAGACGCGGCGGCGGGUCGGCUCUCUAUGGAGGUGGCGGAGGGAAGCGCUGGGAGGCCGCUGCUCCUGCCGUGGUGACUCGGAGACUCGCCCUGCCUCGCGCGCUCCCCCCUUCCCCUCCCCAGCCCCGCUCCCCGGCUCCCUUCCCCUUCCCCCUCCCCUUGCCUUUUCCCCUGCCCUUAUAGCUGCCGGGACCCGGGGAAGCUGACAAGGCCUUAGGGAAGGUUUUGUUUUUCCCCACCCCGUCAAUUUAAUUUUAUUCUUUUGAAGAUUCUUCGUUGUCAAGCCGCCAAAGUGGAGAGUGCGAUUGCAGAAGGGGGUGCUUCUCGU
This is a long non-coding RNA of Nothoprocta perdicaria, 349 nucleotides long. RefSeq lists it as uncharacterized. The record is from RefSeq and is a predicted model, not a curated record. The transcript is spliced from 2 exons. NCBI's taxonomy places the organism in Eukaryota, Metazoa, Chordata, Aves, Tinamiformes, Tinamidae.